RNAcentral lists this transfer RNA (78 nucleotides) under Erwinia phage Cronus. RNAcentral's name for it is "tRNA-Pro". It matches the Rfam family "tRNA". Rfam says of the family: Transfer RNA (tRNA) molecules are approximately 80 nucleotides in length. Lineage: Duplodnaviria; Heunggongvirae; Uroviricota; Caudoviricetes; Pantevenvirales; Straboviridae. The record is from RNAcentral. RNAcentral also lists the same sequence under 1 other name.
CGGAGCGUAGCGCAGUCUGGUCAGCGUAGGGACUUUGGAUGUCUCGGGUCGCAGGUUCGAAUCCUGCCGCUCCGACCA